RNAcentral lists this long non-coding RNA (2382 nucleotides) under Pongo abelii (Sumatran orangutan). RNAcentral's name for it is "lincRNA". The stretch from base 50 to 154 matches the Rfam family "Maternally expressed 3 conserved region 2". The record is from RNAcentral. Lineage: Eukaryota; Metazoa; Chordata; Mammalia; Primates; Hominidae.
CCCAAGGGGGUGUCAGUCUUUGUCGACUGACUCUGUCAUCACCCUUAUGAUGUCCUGAAUGGAAGGAUCCCUUUGGGAAAUUCUCAGGAGGGGGACCUGGGCCAAGGGCUUGACCAGCAUCCUGCUGGCAACUCCAAGGCCCUGGGUGGGCUUCUGGAAUGAGCAUGCUACUGAAUCACCAAAGGCAUGCCCCACCUCUCUGGAGAUCUUCCUAUCCUUUUCUGGGGAAUGGGGUCAAUGGGAGCAACCUCCUAGGGUUGUUGUGAGAAUUAAAUGAGAUAAAAGAGGCCUCAGGCAGGAUCUGGCAUAGAGGAGGUGAUCAGCAAAUGUUUGUUGAAAAGGUUUGACAGGUCAGUCCCUUCCCACCCCUCUUGCUUGUCUUACUCGUCUUAUUUAUUCUCCAACAGCACUCCAGGCAGCCCUUGUCCACGGGCUCUCCUUGCAUCAGGUAGGGGCUUUGCAGAGACCAUCGACGGGCUGACUUGAGUAAGAACACGAAUUAUGCAUGUGGUCAUUUCCAGAGCACUUUCUAUGUGAUACGAACAUGGGAUUUUUAUGUAAUAUGUGUAUGUAAACAAGGCAGCCUCAUUUCCAGGUGAGGAUGCAUUUGGUAGUAUUGAUUUUUGUAAUUUAAAAAAGCUGAAAGGGAGAGAGGACACGUGAGGACUGAACUCUCUGUCCCAUGGGGUAGGACUUAGAUUUACAUUAAAGAGACAGAAACUUGCUGGGAGGUGUAAGUAUUUGGUCACAUUGCUGGCAAGAGAAGGGGUUGGAGUUGGACCCAGGGUGCCACGCUAGCUACCCUCACCCCUUCUUCCCCUCUGGCUCAGAGUUAUACUAAAGAGUCCUUUUAUUUCAAACCAAAUGUUUGACAAUGGGACAGUCUGUUUGAAAUCCCAGCUGCCUGGGGUGGUCUUGGGGGUCUGGGUGGCCCCAGUGCUGGUACCAUGUGCUGGCUUCACCUUUUAAUAACGGUGUGACCUUAAACAAGUCGCUUAACUUCUGUAAGUUUCAGUUUCUUUCAUGGUCUAAAUGGAGAUUAAAACACUCACACACACACACACACACACACACACACACACUCUCUCUCACACACAUACCCUCGUGUAUCUACCCCACAGGGCGCUUUUGAAGACCAAAUGCUGUAACUACUAUGAAAGUGCUUUGUAAAUUGCUGUGGAAAGUGCGAGCUACUUAACCACCCGAGGCUGUCCCUCCUUGCUCACAUGUCCAGCCCAAUUCUCCCUUAGUGAGAACAGCACUCAGUAGGUGCUGUGUGUGUUUGUGUUCAAUUAAGAAAUUCCAGAAUAAAUAAAAAUGAAUUAAUUCAACAAACAUUUUCUGGAGCACCGACAAUCUGCCCAGUGCACCAGGCUAGGUAUCUGAUACAAAGAUAAUGAAAACAGUCUCUUGGAACCUAAUUGGGGUCCUCAUUUGACCAGGACUUUCUUUCGUCCCCUUUUAAGCUAACCAGUUUUGUCCGGACAAGACAAAAACAACUUGGGCUGCUUUAGAGAAGCCCAGCUCAGUGUAGACAAUAGCUGCCCAGCCUCUGAAAGGGGCUGAUUGGAUUAUGUGGCAAAUGGAGGUGCAAGGAUGACUUGGACGGUGACAAAUGAAGUGGGCGGAGACCUGCUUUGAGUUAAUCCAGGCUAUUAGGAGGGGACCUUUUGUCUUCCAGAGACUGGCAGGAGCUUUUACCAGUGGUUUUUACAUCCUUAAUGUUCAGGACGAAUAAUUUAUGGUCAGUGAAAAUCCAGGCCCCAGUGAGAUUCGAGUGGGCUGUAAAAUCGAGAGUCCUGCUCCCAGUGAGUAAUAGUAGUGAAUGUUUCUGUCACUUUUUGCAACUGUCCAUUCAUUUGAUCCUCACAACUCCCUGUCCUGAGCCAGGGCCGGCCCCUGUCACUCCUAGGGAAACAGAGGCUGUCAAGAGGCUCUACAGGUUAGGCCCCACUGGAUCAUUGAAUCCCUGUUCCCUGAGUUCUAGAGGAAGAAUUGUACCUGUCUCAGUCCCGGCCAUCUCCAGAAAGCCUCCUUCUGCAUUUCUGACUUUGCUCUGCCCGCAGCCUGGAGCCUCCCAGGUCCUUGCUGUCAGCUUUUCUAGCCACUACAGUCUCUGUCUUUCCUUUCACAGCCAAGCUUCUUGAAAGGCCUGUCUACACUUGCUGUCUUCCUUCCUCACCUCCAAUUUCCUCUUCAACCCACUGCUUCCUGACUCGCUCUACUCCGUGGAAGGGCACUCACAAAGGCACGUGGGCCGCGGCCCAGCUGGGUCGGCUGAAGAACUGCGGAUGGAAGCUGUGGAAGAGGCCCUGAUGGGGCCCACCAUCCCGGACCCGAGUCUUCUUCCUGGAGGGCCUCUCGUCUCCUUCCUGUUUUGGG